GACGAACGCUGGCGGUGUGCUUAACACAUGCAAGUGGUGCGACGAACCAGAGCUUGCUCUGGGGCAAAGCCGCGAACGGGUGAGUAACACGUGGGUAAUCUACCCCGAUGACCGGGACAACCCGAGGAAACUCGGGCUAAUACCGGAUGUGGUGCGGAGACAUAAGUCUCUUCACUAAAGGUAGCUUCGGCUUCCGCAUUGGGAGGGGCCCGCGGCCCAUUAGCUUGUUGGUGGGGUCAAGGCCUACCAAGGCAACGAUGGGUAGCUGGUCUGAGAGGACGAUCAGCCACACUGGGACUGAGACACGGCCCAGACUCCUACGGGAGGCAGCAGUGGGGAAUCUUGCACAAUGCGCGAAAGCGUGACGCAGCAACACCGCGUGAGGGAAGAAGGCCUUAGGGUUGUAAACCUCUUUCAGAUGGGACGAAGGUUCUCCGGUGAAUAGCCGAGAGGAUUGACGGUACCGUCAGAAGAAGCUCCGGCUAACUACGUG
RNAcentral lists this ribosomal RNA (493 nucleotides) under uncultured bacterium. RNAcentral's name for it is "partial 16S ribosomal RNA". It matches the Rfam family "Bacterial small subunit ribosomal RNA", at positions 28 to 507 of the family's 1533-position model. The record is from RNAcentral.